RNAcentral lists this ribosomal RNA (713 nucleotides) under Staphylococcus aureus. RNAcentral describes it as "partial 23S ribosomal RNA". It matches the Rfam family "Bacterial large subunit ribosomal RNA", at positions 1 to 711 of the family's 2925-position model. Lineage: Bacteria; Bacillati; Bacillota; Bacilli; Caryophanales; Staphylococcaceae. The record is from RNAcentral.
GAUUAAGUUAUUAAGGGCGCACGGUGGAUGCCUUGGCACUAGAAGCCGAUGAAGGACGUUACUAACGACGAUAUGCUUUGGGGAGCUGUAAGUAAGCUUUGAUCCAGAGAUUUCCGAAUGGGGAAACCCAGCAUGAGUUAUGUCAUGUUAUCGAUAUGUGAAUACAUAGCAUAUCAGAAGGCACACCCGGAGAACUGAAACAUCUUAGUACCCGGAGGAAGAGAAAGAAAAUUCGAUUCCCUUAGUAGCGGCGAGCGAAACGGGAAGAGCCCAAACCAACAAGCUUGCUUGUUGGGGUUGUAGGACACUCUAUACGGAGUUACAAAGGACGACAUUAGACGAAUCAUCUGGAAAGAUGAAUCAAAGAAGGUAAUAAUCCUGUAGUCGAAAAUGUUGUCUCUCUUGAGUGGAUCCUGAGUACGACGGAGCACGUGAAAUUCCGUCGGAAUCUGGGAGGACCAUCUCCUAAGGCUAAAUACUCUCUAGUGACCGAUAGUGAACCAGUACCGUGAGGGAAAGGUGAAAAGCACCCCGGAAGGGGAGUGAAAUAGAACCUGAAACCGUGUGCUUACAAGUAGUCAGAGCCCGUUAAUGGGUGAUGGCGUGCCUUUUGUAGAAUGAACCGGCGAGUUACGAUUUGAUGCAAGGUUAAGCAGUAAAUGUGGAGCCGUAGCGAAAGCGAGUCUGAAUAGGGCGUUUAGUAUUUGGUCGUA